GGCGUAGGUGAUGGACAACAGGUUGAUAUUCCUGUACUACCGAUAACCGUUUGAGAGAAGGGAUGACACAGUAGGAUAAGCUAAGCACACUGUUGGUUAUGUGUGCCCAAGCAUUGAGGCAGUCAAAGUAGGCAAAUCCGCUUUGAUAAUGCUGGGAUGUGAUGGGGAGCGAAAUUUAGUAGCGAAGUAGCUGAUUUCACACUGUCAAGAAAAGUCUCUAUCGAGGUUAAAGGUACCCGUACCGCAAACCGACACAGGUGGGUGAGGAGAGUAUCCUAAGGCCAGCGAGAGAACUGUUGUUAAGGAACUCGGCAAAAUGACCCCGUAACUUAGGGAUAAGGGGUGCCACCAUUAGGUGGCCGCAGAGAAUAGGCCCAAGCGACUGUUUACCAAAAACAUAGGUUUCUGCUAAGUCGCAAGACGAUGUAUAGGAGCUGACGCCUGCCCGGUGCUGGAAGGUUAAGGGGAUCUGUUAGAGUAAUCGAAGCAGUGAACUUAAGCCCCAGUAAACGGCGGCCGUAACUAUAACGGUCCUAAGGUAGCGAAAUUCCUUGUCGGGUAAGUUCCGACCCGCACGAAAGGCGUAACGAUUUGGGCACUGUCUCA
Molecule: ribosomal RNA, 606 nt
Filed under: Clostridioides difficile
Lineage: Bacteria; Bacillati; Bacillota; Clostridia; Peptostreptococcales; Peptostreptococcaceae
Description: partial 23S ribosomal RNA
Rfam family: Bacterial large subunit ribosomal RNA
Source: RNAcentral